This 167-nucleotide ribosomal RNA is filed under the name uncultured bacterium. RNAcentral describes it as "partial 16S rRNA". It matches the Rfam family "Bacterial small subunit ribosomal RNA", at positions 355 to 511 of the family's 1533-position model. The record is from RNAcentral.
UAGGGAAUCUUCCACAAUGGACGCAAGUCUAGGAUGGAGCAACGCCGCGUGAGUGAAGAAGGUUUUCGGAUCGUAAAGCUCUGUUGUAAGAGAAGAACGUGUGUGAGAGUGGAAAGUUCACACAGUGACGGUAACUUACCAGAAAGGGACGGCUAACUACGUGUCAG